UAGUGAUAUGCUCUGUCUCAAAGAUUAAGCCAUGCAUGUCUGAGUACAGACCGAUCUAAGGUGAAACCGCGAAUGGCUCAUUAAAUCAGUCAUAAUUCCUUGGAUAGUGAUAAACUUCCUCGGAUAACUGUGGAAAAUCCAGAGCUAAUACGUGCAACUGAGUUCCGACCUCGGCGUGAGCCUUGGGAAGAACGCAUUUAUUAGAUUCAAAACUGACCGGCGUACUCCUCCGGGAUGCGCCGUUCGUCAAAUGUUUGAUGACUCCGGAUAACUUAGCCGAGCGCUACGGUCUUUAGUACCGGCGCCGUAUCUUUCAAGUGUCUGCCUUAUCAGCUUUCGAUUGUAGGUUAAACGCCUACAAUGGCUGUAACGGGUAACGGGGAAUCAGGGUUCGAUUCCGGAGAGGGAGCCUGAGAAACGGCUACCACAUCUAAGGAAGGCAGCAGGCACGCAAAUUACCCACUCCCAGCCCGGGGAGGUAGUGACGAAAAAUAACGAUGCGAGACUCUUCCGAGGCCUCGCAAUCGGAAUGAGUUCAUUUUAAAACUUUGGACGAGGAUCCAUUGGAGGGCAAGUCUGGUGCCAGCAGCCGCGGUAAUUCCAGCUCCAAUAGCGUAUAUUAAAGUUGCUGCGGUUAAAAAGCUCGUAGUUGGACUUCCUAGAUCCAUUUCGCGAGCGAGUCGCUCGUUGAGCUAGCGUUACGAGUCAGUCACUGGAUGACGUUGGGUCGCGCGCGUUCAGCGUGAGUAUUUCUCUUUCGGGAGUUUGCUUAUCGUUGUUUCACGUCGGCACGUACGGAGUCUAGCGGACGUCGAAUCGUUGUCUUCGAGUAUUGCUCGUUCGCGUCUGGUACAAUUAAAAAUUUGUCGGCUCAUUCGGAGUGCUCUUUACCGAGUGUUCCAGGAUGGCUGACACGUUCACUUUGAAAAAAUUAGAGUGCUCAAAGCGGGCUGAAACCAACGGCCUGAAUGUCUGUGCAUGGAAUGAAGUAACAGGACCUCGAUUCUGUUUUUUUUGUCGGUUUUAUUGAACCGAGGUAAUGAUUAAAAGGGACAGACGGUGGCAUUAGUAUUGCGGCGCUAGAGGUGAAAUUCUUGGACCGCUGCAAGACUAACUACUGCGAAAGCAUUUGCCGAGAAUGUUUUCAUUAAUCAAGAACGAAAGUUAGAGGAUCGAAGGCGAUCAGAUACCGCCCUAGUUCUAACCCUAAACUAUGCUAACUAGCGAUCCGCCGGAGUCAUUCCCACGACCCGGCGGGAAGCCCCAGGGAAACCAAAGUUUUUGAGUUCCGGGGGAAGUAUGGUUGCAAAGCUGAAACUUAAAGGAAUUGACGGAAGGGCACCACCAGGAGUGGAGCCUGCGGCUUAAUUUGACUCAACACGGGAAACCUCACCAGGCCCGGACAUCAUAAGGAUUGACAGGUUGAGAGCUCUUUCUCGAUUUGAUGGGUGGUGGUGCAUGGCCGUUCUUAGUUGGUGGAGUGAUCUGUCUGGUUGAUUCCGAUAACGAACGAGACUCUACCCUGCUAACUAGUCGGCGGAUCGUAACCCUGAGAUGGUUAGUUUGUAUAGGAUGGUUUUGCCGAGGUGUACGUUCAUGCCGUUCGUUAUCGCGCGGCGGGUGUUUGUGGUUGGGAUCUCCUGGCCCGCGCUCGUUCGUGUGGUAAUCGGAUGUGUGUGGCUAUGUCGAAGCUUCCGUUUGAUUACUGCUACUACUGGGGGCGUCCGUCGCAAUGUAUCUUCUUAGAGGGAUCAGCGGCGUUUAGCCGCACGAGAAAGAGCAAUAACAGGUCUGUGAUGCCCUUAGAUGUUCUGGGCCGCACGCGCGCUACAAUGUAAGGACCAGCGUGCUUUCCCCUUCCGAAAGGAACGGGUAACCCGUUGAAAGCCCUACCCGAUAGGGAUUGGGGAUUGCAAAUAUUUCCCAUAAACGAGGAAUUCCCAGUAAGCGUGAGUCACUAACUCGCGCUGAUUACGUCCCUGCCCUUUGUACACACCGCCCGUCGCUACUACCGAUUGAAUGAUUCAGUGAGGGCAUCGGACUGGCGCCUUCGGUUUAGUAACAUAGACCUUAGGCUGACGGAAAGAUGUCCGAACUUGAUCAUUUAGAGGAAGUAAAAGUCGUAACAAGGUUUCCGUAGUG
This 2142-nucleotide ribosomal RNA is filed under the name Eurycope sp. 1 MR-2008. RNAcentral describes it as "SSU rRNA". It matches the Rfam family "Eukaryotic small subunit ribosomal RNA". The record is from RNAcentral. Lineage: Eukaryota; Metazoa; Arthropoda; Malacostraca; Isopoda; Munnopsidae.